RNAcentral lists this long non-coding RNA (4536 nucleotides) under Medicago truncatula (barrel medic). RNAcentral's name for it is "long non-coding RNA (MTRU_LNC001936)". The record is from RNAcentral. Lineage: Eukaryota; Viridiplantae; Streptophyta; Magnoliopsida; Fabales; Fabaceae.
ACAUAUGGAGGAGGUGGUGAGGGAGAUGGUGGUGGAGGAGACUUAUAGACAUAAGGUGGUGGUGGUGAUGGGGAUCGUGGAGGUGGAUAUAUGUAGUAAUAAGGUGGGUAUUUGCAGACAUAGGGAGGUGGAGGUGAUAGAGAUGGCGGAGGUGGGAACUUGUAGUAAUAUGGAGGUGAUUUGGAAUAAUAUGGUGCCUGCUGUCCAUGACUUGGACUAAUAUAGAUGAGUUGAGGCAAAUGCCUCAACCCAAAUGAGGUUCCCAUCUUUUUUAAGAAUGUGUAUUUCUGUACUCAGUUCCUUGGAAGAGUGAUAGCUAGUUACUGUGAUUGCUUAAGUUUGCAUUCUAACUCUUUAUAUAGUGUUUUCCAAGCAUAGAUUAUAAGAUUUUUAAUUUUUCAAUUGCAUUAAGACAGCCUGGCUUAAAGUUUUGAAUUAUAUUUUUAUUUCGUGGAUGACGUGUUUACUGUUUUUGUAUAUUUUUUGGUUUUUGUUCAUGUCAUAUUGUAUUUUAAAACUUGAUGCAUUCUGGUCAGAAUUCUUUAAUACACAAAUGGAAUGAAGUAUAACUUGGAAAAGUAAUGCAUCAUUUUAAUUUCCACUGUUUUAUAAGUGAAAAUGUGUUGUAUAUGAUCUAAAUUUGGAUUUAAAUAUUGGUGCAGACAACCAUAUUUCGUAUAAAUAAGCAAAAUUAUGUUUUAUGCUAUAACUUUUGUGCCACUAUUGUCAAUGAAUUAAUAAGCUACUUCAACUUAAUUACUUGUGUUGACGUGACCAUACGGUACUUUUUUGUUUGGUACAUAGAGGAGAUGACAAAACCAUCAUAAACCCACACAUAUAAAGUGGAGGUAUCAGAGUUCGAACCCCGAUCAUAAUAUCCGAUCUAACAAUUUCGACAUUUUAAACAGUUGAGCUAGGACUUGUGACGACCAUAUGGUACUUUAUUUAAUGUGAAAUGGUUAUAUGUAUUGUAGGAAUAUUUCGUUUUGGUUUAAAAAAUUUAAUUGACUUGUUGUAUAUAUAAUUACUGUCUAUCUCAGUCGACCUACCUUCAUAUAAUUUUUUUACGGUUCUUUAAAACAACCAUGAUUUACUCUAAUAUUCUUUGAUUAGUUCCACCAUGAAUAUGUACGACGGUGGAAAAUUUUGAAAUAUUAGUGAUUUUUUGUUUAUUUUGGUAGUGUACUAAUAUUAAUAUAAUUCAUUUUUUUGACCAAACUAGUAAUAUAAUUCUAUUCAAUGUUUAUUUGAUUUAACAAGACAAAAGAAAAGUACGUUAGCAAUGACCUUACUUGUGUAAGAAUCUUUUAAUUAUUUUUUUUUUUGUCUUUCGUACUGGUUUCCGAUCCACCAACGGUGGGCGAUUAAUCCGGCUCGUGUGUAGAGGCGUGUGUAAUGGUCAAGCGUUGUUUCCCCUAAAAAUUGAACUCGGUAUUUCUCAAGUGUAUCUUUGGAAGGAGCUCAAGCAACUUGGUUCAAUUUUUUUUUAAUAUUUAGUUAGUCUCUUAAUUAACUACGAUAUUGUUCAAUAAAUUUUAACUCAAUUAUCAAAAAAUAUCAAAAUUGUAAGGUUGAUGUUGCCAUCAAAGUUCGAACUUUAACUUCUUCAUUUAUGUAUGAGUGAGUUUCCAUUGAUAAUUGUCAAACAAAUUAUUAAGCUUUUGAACUCUUCUAGAAUAAUUAUUAUGCAUUGUCCAUACCAACUGAGCUAAGCUCACAAAGACUGUUUUAUUUUAUUUUUAAUUUUAACGAAAGGGAAUCUUUGAUCUGAAUGUAUUUAAAUAUAAAAAAUCAAAGUGAAUUUAAUUUUAGUGAAAUGGUAGCUAAUUAUUUUAAAAUUUACUACCAUUAUAUUCUGUAGCACAAUUAUGGUAGAAAUUCUUAUUUUCUUGUAGUGCAAGUUAGUUGCAAGUUUUUUCUUGAAAGGAAUUUGUUAUUUUUUUUUUAACUUAAUGAAUGAAAGUUAGUUGCAACAUAUAUAUUAGUCACGGUAUCUCACCUCAUUCUUUUAAUCAUAUUUCUUUGUUUUUGUUUCCCGUUAAAGUAUUCCCAAUAUUUUUAUUUUUUUUAGGGAAUAUUCCCAAUCUUUCUUAAAUAGUAACUAUCAAGUAUCAACAAUUCAACAUGCAUAUUAUAUUCUUUCAAAAAGAAAAAAAAUGGUUAUACAUACUUGUAAGAAAGUACAUAUAUUUUUAGUUUCCUUACUGCUGGCUUCCUAAGACCUGGUAAUGUCUCCUUUCUCACUUGACAAAAAAUUAAUAAUCUAUGAAGCAUAAAUAUGGUCACUAAUGACAGUGGACAUCAAUAAUCAUUUAAAAAAAUAAAUAAAUUAAAUGUAAUUAUAUACGUCAGUUUUUAUUAUAUCAGACACCGAACACAUCUUGAAUGAAGCAAUGUUGCAAACCAUACAUGACAUAAGGCGCUUAAAUGUUAAUCAAAACCAUUUUCAAUGAUCAACGAUAGGGAUAUUAUUACUCAACACCUCUUUAGAAAUCAUUCAAUCAACUUCCAAAGCGUAAUGGUCAUGUCAUGUAAUCAAGUCAGAGGUUGUUACGGUCACCCGUAAUGAGGGGCUACGACAAAAUGAGCUGCAUAACUCUAUGAUUAUUUGUUUUUUUUUUUUUUUAAAGUAACUAAAAUGAUUCUUUUGUAAUGUAAUUUAAUCCAAGUCUUUUGAUGUUAUACUUAGGUUCUCUCUUUGAUUUGACAUAACUUAGCACCAAAUUUAUCUUGUAUUUGCAUUGUUCUUUCAAUAUAGUUUUCUUGUUUUUAUUUCUUGCAUUGUCUUUAUGUUAUUUAAUUAAACUCGUCCUUAUGAUGAGUGAGUAGUUUUUUUAAGUUUUGGGAUUAUGAAAAGUAAUUUUAUGAUAAACUUUUCAUAAUCCUUGUUUUCUUUCUUUUAUUUAGUAUAUGCAUUCACCUAAUUUAUUUUAUUGUUUUGUCAUGUUCGUGUCAUCUCACCGUUUAAACCAAGUUAGUCUCUGUUGUUUGAAUUGGACGAUCUAUUUAUUUGUUUGAACUGAACGACUCAAGUUCCAUAUUGUUUUUCUAUGAUGUUCGAAUUGGAUACCAAUACCAUCACAAACUCAUCUCACAUGAUUAAGUAUAUAAUUAAUUAUGGUGCUGCGUUGUUAUGCUUUAAAAACAAGUGUCCCACAACACAACCAUCACAAACUCAUCUGACAUGAAGAAAUUCAUGAAAGGCAUGUUUAUAGAAAGAAUAAUUUUAGUUCAAAAUGAAAGUAUUUUUUUUCAAAAUUUCAUGAACAUCAUCAAGAUUAGCAACAACAAAUACGAAACUAUAUAUCAGUAUAUGAAAUUUGAUAAAACAGAUUAAAAUACGCUUCUGAAAUAACACUUAUACAAAAUGAUACAACAUGGAGUCCAAAGCAUAGCUUUAUUACAGAGCAGACUUUUAUUACUAAUGAAAACUUUAUUGCAAUACAAACAACACAACAAUGAUCAUAGUAUAACUAUUGGAAGGAGUCAAAAUGCAUAUGUCAUCAAGCUUAAUACACAGGGGGUGGAGGUGAACUAUAUUGGUAGGGCUUAUAUGGUGUAGGUGGGGAUUUGUAAACGUAAGGAGGAGAUUUAUAAACAUAGGGAGCGGGUGGUGGGGAUUUAUAGAUAUAUGGUGGAGACUCAUAAACAUAUGGAGGGGGUAUAGGUUUGUAGUAGUAUGGAGGAGGUGGUGAUGGUGAGGGUGGAGGAGGUGACUCAUAAACAUAAGGUGGUGGUGGAGGGGAUUUGUAGACAUAUUGUGGAGGAGGAGGUGAUUCGUAAACAUAUGGAGGAGGUGGCGGUGACUUGUAGACAUAUGGUGGUGGAGGUGGCGACUUGUAUACAUAUGGUGGGGUGGUGAUGGAGAUGGUGGAGGAGGAGACUUGUAGACAUAUGGAGGUGGGGUGUACACAUAUGGUGGGGGAGGUGGCGACUUGUAGAUAUAUGGAGGAGGUGGUGAUGGUGGAGGAGGAGAUGGGUAAACAUAAGGUGGAGGAGGUGGUGACUUAUACACAUAUGGAGGAGGUGGGGGUGAUUUGUAGAUAUAUGGAGGAGGAGGCGAUGGUGGAGGAGGAGAUGGGUAAACAUAAGGUGGAGGAGGUGGUGAUUUGUAUACGUAUGGAGGAGGUGGUGAUGGUGGAGGAGGAGACGGGUAAACGUAAGGUGGAGGAGGUGGUGACUUGUACACAUAUGGAGGAGGUGGGGGUGACUUGUACACAUAUGGAGGAGGUGGUGAUGGUGGAGGAGGAGACGGGUAAACAUAAGGUGGAGGAGGUGGUGACUUGUACACGUAUGGAGGAGGUGGGGGUGACUUGUACACAUAUGGAGGAGGUGGCGGUGACUUGUAUACAUACGGAGGAGGUGGUGAUGGUGGAGGAGGAGACGGGUAAACGUAAGGUGGAGGAGGUGGUGACUUGUACACGUAUGGAGGAGGUGGGGGUGACUUGUAUACAUAUGGAGGUGGCGGUGAUGGUGGAGGAGGAGACGGGUAAACAUAAGGUGGAGGAGGUGGUGACUUGUACACAUAUGGAGGAG